UCUUUCUCAUCAUCUACAAGAAACAAAUACAAAGAGACGUAUAUUCGAGACCACCACCACACACUUGUGUUCGGCAUUGUGAACAAGACGGGCACUACAGUGAGUCAGCUCAACUUUAUACGUAGAAAAAAAGAAGGAGAAUGCGUAUAGCUUUGAAAUCGACGUAACCUUUUCUUGUUUUGAGUGAUGGGUAACGCGUGAUGGCGUUGGACAGAUCCACUCGCGUUUUAGUUUGCUUUUUCUUCACUUGGUUGGCCUAUUGCUUUGGCGCUAUUUAUGUAAUUUAAAAUUCCCCUUUUUUUUGUAUGGUUUUUCACUUCCCUCCUUGUAAAGCUCAAGCUUCGGGGAGAGAGAGAGAGAAGAGAGACGCAAUUCCAUCUUUGUAUUGGAUAUGUAAAAAUCGAUGGAUGUAGAUGCAUAGUUAGGCAAAGGUGGUUUAGUAUCUAUCGGUCACUCAAUUGGGAAAACGUCAAAAGCUAAAUCCCAUAUCCGUGCUUGCAGAAUGUGUGUUUGGUUCCACGGAAAGUGAAAGAGAGGACAGGCGGCGGAGUUUUAUUGAAAUUGUUUCCAUUAAUUUUCUUGAAGUUGCACACAUUCUAAUUAAUAGUUGCCACGACCACGAAAGAGGAUAUACAAAGCAGUUGUACUUGUACGUACAUAUUGAUUGGUGUAAUAUCAAAAAACACACUUUUUAUCGUU
Tarenaya hassleriana is the source of this 699-nucleotide long non-coding RNA. RefSeq lists it as uncharacterized. The transcript has 2 exons. The record is from RefSeq and is a predicted model, not a curated record. NCBI's taxonomy places the organism in Eukaryota, Viridiplantae, Streptophyta, Magnoliopsida, Brassicales, Cleomaceae.